GACGAACGCUGGCGGCGUGCUUAACACAUGCAAGUCGAACGGAAAGGCCUCUUUCGGGUGGUACUCGAGUGGCGAACGGGUGAGUAACACGUGAGUAACCUGCCCUUGACUUUGGGAUAACUUCAGGAAACUGGGGCUAAUACCGGAUAGGAGCUCCUGCUGCAUGGUGGGGGUUGGAAAGUUUCGGCGGUUGGGGCUGGACUCGCGGCUGAUCAGCUUGUUGGUGGGGGAGUGGCUUACCAAGGCUUUGACGGGUAGCCGGCCUGAGAGGGUGACCGGCCACAUUGGGACUGAGAUACGGCCCAGACGCCUACGGGAGGCAGCAGUGGGGAAUAUUGCACAAUGGGUGGAAGCCUGAUGCAGCAACGCCGUGUGCGGGAGGACGGCCUUCGGGUUGUAAACCGCUUUCGCUCAUGACGAAGCUUUGUGUGACGGUAGUGGGUAAAGAAGCACCGGCUAACUACGUG
Molecule: ribosomal RNA, 467 nt
Filed under: uncultured bacterium
Lineage: Bacteria
Description: partial 16S ribosomal RNA
Rfam family: Bacterial small subunit ribosomal RNA
Source: RNAcentral